GAUGAACGCUAGCUACAGGCUUAACACAUGCCAGUCGAGGGGAAACGGCAUCGAAAGCUUGCUUUUGAUGGGCGUCGACCGGCGCACGGGUGAGUAACGCGUAUCCAACCUGCCCAUCACUUGGGAAUAACCUUGCGAAAGUAAGACUAAUGCCCAAUGACAUCCCACGAAGGCAUCCGAAUGGGAUUAAAGAUUUAUCGGUGAUGGAUGGGGAUGCGUCUGAUUAGCUUGUUGGCGGGGUGACGGCCCACCAAGGCAACGAUCAGUAGGGGUUCUGAGAGGAAGGUCCCCCACAUUGGAACUGAGACACGGUCCAAACUCCUACGGGAGGCAGCAGUGAGGAAUAUUGGUCAAUGGGCGAGAGCCUGAACCAGCCAAGUAGCGUGCAGGAGGACGGCCCUAUGGGUGGUAAACUGCUUUUAUAAGGGAAUAAAGUGGGUCACGUGUGACUUUUUGCAUGUACCUUAUGAAUAAGGACCGGCUAAUUCCGUG
RNAcentral lists this ribosomal RNA (492 nucleotides) under uncultured bacterium. RNAcentral's name for it is "partial 16S ribosomal RNA". It matches the Rfam family "Bacterial small subunit ribosomal RNA", at positions 28 to 507 of the family's 1533-position model. The record is from RNAcentral.